GUACACGUGGAUAACCUGCCCUAAGGAAGGGGAUACCCCCGGGAAACUGGGGAUAAUACCCUAUAGGUUACAGAUGCUGGAAUGCUCUGUACCCGAAAGUUCCGGCGCCUUAGGAUGGAUCUGCGGCCGAUUAGGUUGUUGUCGGGGUAACGGCCCAACAAGCCAGUAAUCGGUACGGGUUGUGGGAGCAAGAGCCCGGAGUUGGAUUCUGAGACACGAAUCCAGGCCCUACGGGGCGCAGCAGGCGCGAAAACUUUACAAUGCGGGCAACCGUGAUAAGGGAACCUCGAGUGCCUGUAUAUGCAGGCUGUCUGGGUGUCUAAAACACACCUAAAGAAAGGGCCGGGCAAGACCGGUGCCAGCCGCCGCGGUAAUACCGGCGGCUCGAGUGGUGGCCACUUUUAUUGGGCUUAAAGCGUUCGUAGCUGGGUUAUUAAGUCCCUUGGGAAAUCCGACGGCUUAACCGUCGGGCGUCUAAGGGAUACUGGCAAUCUUGGAACCGGGAGAGGUGAGGGGUACUUCGGGGGUAGGAGUGAAAUCCUGUAAUCCUCGAGGGACCACCUGUGGCGA
RNAcentral lists this ribosomal RNA (570 nucleotides) under uncultured archaeon. Its description in RNAcentral is "bacterial SSU rRNA". It matches the Rfam family "Archaeal small subunit ribosomal RNA", at positions 94 to 669 of the family's 1478-position model. The record is from RNAcentral.